AGUGGGAUAAUGGGGUCAAAUGGUGGUUUCAUUCCAAGUUUUCUGAGGAAUCUCCAUACUGCUUUCCAGAGUGGUUGCACCAAUUUGCAGUCCCAUCAGCAAU
This 103-nucleotide microRNA precursor is filed under the name Marmota monax (woodchuck). Lineage: Eukaryota; Metazoa; Chordata; Mammalia; Rodentia; Sciuridae. The record is from RNAcentral.